RNAcentral lists this ribosomal RNA (626 nucleotides) under Salmonella enterica subsp. enterica serovar Infantis. RNAcentral describes it as "partial 23S ribosomal RNA". It matches the Rfam family "Bacterial large subunit ribosomal RNA", at positions 642 to 1252 of the family's 2925-position model. The record is from RNAcentral. Lineage: Bacteria; Pseudomonadati; Pseudomonadota; Gammaproteobacteria; Enterobacterales; Enterobacteriaceae.
AAGGUUAACCGAAUAGGGGAGCCGGAGGGAAACCGAGUCUUAACCGGGCGUUAAGUUGCAGGGUAUAGACCCGAAACCCGGUGAUCUAGCCAUGGGCAGGUUGAAGGUUGGGUAACACUAACUGGAGGACCGAACCGACUAAUGUUGAAAAAUUAGCGGAUGACCUGUGGCUGGGGGUGAAAGGCCAAUCAAACCGGGAGAUAGCUGGUUCUCCCCGAAAGCUAUUUAGGUAGCGCCUCGUGAAUUCAUCUCCGGGGGUAGAGCACUGUUUCGGCUAGGGGGCCAUCCCGGCUUACCAACCCGAUGCAAACUGCGAAUACCGGAGAAUGUUAUCACGGGAGACACACGGCGGGUGCUAACGUCCGUCGUGAAGAGGGAAACAACCCAGACCGCCAGCUAAGGUCCCAAAGUCAUGGUUAAGUGGGAAACGAUGUGGGAAGGCCCAGACAGCCAGGAUGUUGGCUUAGAAGCAGCCAUCAUUUAAAGAAAGCGUAAUAGCUCACUGGUCGAGUCGGCCUGCGCGGAAGAUGUAACGGGGCUAAACCAUGCACCGAAGCUGCGGCAGCGAACGUAUCACUUAAAGCGAUUCAGCGGGUUACGAUUGACGGAGCGAAGCGACGUCAAAG